CUUCCGAGCAGUAACGCUGCUAAUCAGGCAACAGAACAAGAACCGAAUUGUCAGAGAAAUCAAAAGGCCUAGUGGCUGACGGUGACAGGAAUUUACCGACAGUAUCCAUCGCCAAUCUCUGGCAUCGAUUCAGAAUGAAAAGUCCGCUACCUUUUGCUCUGAAUUCACCUUUCUUUUUUUCCUUUUUUUUUUGCUUUAUCUUCUUCUAUUUGGGAAUAUAGAGUGUUUUCGGUAGAAUCAAACCAACUUCAUCAAUCCUCAGCAAUUCCACUUGACAUCUAUGCCACAACUUUAUCUCUCGC
This 302-nucleotide long non-coding RNA is filed under the name Nicotiana benthamiana. RNAcentral's name for it is "long non-coding RNA (NBEN_LNC031782)". The record is from RNAcentral. Lineage: Eukaryota; Viridiplantae; Streptophyta; Magnoliopsida; Solanales; Solanaceae.